This is a long non-coding RNA of Pecten maximus, 736 nucleotides long. RefSeq lists it as uncharacterized. The record is from RefSeq and is a predicted model, not a curated record. The transcript is spliced from 2 exons. NCBI's taxonomy places the organism in Eukaryota, Metazoa, Mollusca, Bivalvia, Pectinida, Pectinidae.
AUUUAUCACAGAUUACACGGCCGAAGGAAACGCAGUACCGAUCCAUGUGUUACAAUCAGAUCUAGACUGAGUCUUCAUGCAGUACAUUCUGGAAUGAGGAACACCGCAUGCAUUGUGGUCCAAAUUGAUGGCAUUGACUUAACACAAAGCAGAAAGGAAUGAAGAGAAAUUAAGAAGUUUAUGUUUCACAUUAAUUAAGAUUAUUCGAGAUAUGUUAUCUGUCGAGGUAUACAACAUUUCCUUUCAUAAUAAAAGUGUAAACAUUAAUAUAUAUACAAAAAAAAAUCAUGUAUAUAAUCUAAAAAUCCUUGUUAGUUAUUUGUUGUACUAGCAAAAAAUAUAAUAUAGUCGUCUCAAGCUUGGUUGUAUUGAAAUCCCCGGGGACAGAGAUAUAUCACUACAGUACGUGCUACAUCAAACAACACACCAUUGUUCAAUUGUCAAUCAACAUUUCAUUUAGUCAGUAUUUAGAAUUGAUUCCAAAAUUAUGAUAAUCUUUUCACAGUUUAUUAGAAAUAAUGUUAAAUUCGAUAGAAGUCUUCGACUGUUGCUCGUUUUUGUUUAUUUUAAGUUCACGGACACACAUGAAAACAGUUUCCAGUACAUCUGGGCUACUUCGAGGAAACUACGUAUACUGUCUGAAAUCAGUCUUGUGCGUCGGUGACAAAAUGUGUACAUAUCCUACUAUAACUCUGCUGGAAAAUAUUAUUUUGUACUAUUUUCCUACUAUUUUAGA